RNAcentral lists this transfer RNA (71 nucleotides) under Marmota monax (woodchuck). RNAcentral's name for it is "tRNA.Val". It matches the Rfam family "tRNA". Rfam says of the family: Transfer RNA (tRNA) molecules are approximately 80 nucleotides in length. Lineage: Eukaryota; Metazoa; Chordata; Mammalia; Rodentia; Sciuridae. The record is from RNAcentral.
GGGGUGUAGCUCAGUGGUAGAGCUAUUGCUUGACAUGUUUGAGGCCUGGGUUCUAACCCCAGUACCAGCCA